Molecule: long non-coding RNA, 1129 nt
Filed under: Lathyrus oleraceus (garden pea)
Lineage: Eukaryota; Viridiplantae; Streptophyta; Magnoliopsida; Fabales; Fabaceae
Description: Pisum sativum (pea) long non-coding RNA (PSAT_LNC029683)
Source: RNAcentral
UUUAUAAUCAUCAAAACCUGCAACUGAUUGUUAACAGAAUAAUUUCUAAGACCACAGUAAUUAACAAAAUGUACCACAGAGAAUCACAAACUUACUAACUGAAAAUGAAUUUGGUAACUAACUGAUUUCAUGUCUAACUAACUAUUGAAUUUGAUUGUAAUUUCAUGAGCAUUUGGCAAUUGAAUUCGAAAUGCUAUAAAUUCUGCACAUCUUCAACAGAAAAAGGAUUCUUCAUUCAUUUACAGAAACAGAUCCAAAAUCAAUCGAAAUAACAGAGAAAUUCGCACAUCACAGACCAUCCAAAAAUCGGUUUUCACUCUUCACUCUCAAUCUCUCUUCACAAUUUCUCAGAACCUCUCAAUAAUUCCACGCAAUUCCUCACAACGAUUCAACAUGGAGCGAACAACGCUGCAGCAACAAUAACGCACGCCAAGGAAGAAUAAGAGAUGAAGCGAUUCGGAAUAAGGGAAAAGACUCGUACCUGUUCGCAAUCAGAGUUUCAAACCGAGGCUCAGAGCUUUGCAAAUCUUGGCCGAACCAUGGAGUUUUGAUAAUGAGCGAACGAUUCCGGAAUCCAUACGCGUCGACGAGUGCAUUUUAGCUCCGAAUUGGAUUUAGCUUCAGAGUUUGGGCGCACCGAUAUUACUACACCACGACCGGCCCCGGUGAUCCGGGAAGCAUCCGUUGAAGCACAUCGUGUGAAGCCUUGGGGAAGACAAAGCGGCGGAGUUUAGGCGCGACAAAGAGAAGAGGAGUUAUCACCUGAUUCAAGCCCAUCCUUUUCAGUUCAUUAUCCUCGGCGGAGCAACCGCGUCGGAGUCACGAUUUGGUAUGUUUUCUCAUGCCUCUUACUUAUCUUAUCAAACUGAGUCUUGUGAACACAUUCAUCGGCCUAGUCGUCCCGAUUCCAUCGCAACAUGCCAAGGACCUAGGCUUCGAUAUAAAUCCGUUGAUUUGGAGAAGAUGAAUGAUGGAUUCUACUUGGUGAAACAAGCUCGGAUUUGCGUACGGAUUUGUUCAUGGCUUCCGUGAAGCAUCUAGAAAUAAGAUGAUGAUGAAGGUGAAAGUAAUUAUGGAGAUUGAUGUUUCUAGUUUUGAUGGAGCUUUGAAUGUAGGAGUUAGGGUACGG